RNAcentral lists this long non-coding RNA (8057 nucleotides) under Lupinus angustifolius (narrow-leaved blue lupine). RNAcentral's name for it is "long non-coding RNA (LANG_LNC002770)". Lineage: Eukaryota; Viridiplantae; Streptophyta; Magnoliopsida; Fabales; Fabaceae. The record is from RNAcentral.
UGUGUUCAUUUUUUAUAAAACAUUUUCCUUUAUAGCUUAGCUAGAAUUAGUCAUGAACCAGAACAAUAUUCAUGGCCUGUGUUACUGUUCACAUUUUUCUGAUAUGAUUAUGUGUAAUAUGAGCAGGAUAAAGAAGCCGGUGAUGACCCAGACAUCCAAGAUAUCUUAAAAGCAUGCUGCUCAUGAAGAAAGAAGUGAGGGAACCCCUCUUUUGCUGCUAUAUUUGUCUUGCUUUGUGAAGUGUGAUACUCUCAGGGGCAUUGUAUAUUGUAUCUGCUUCUUGCACUGAGAAGUAGCUUUGUCUUGAGGUUCAGUUAUAAGAUUACCUGUUAUGCAAGGCUAUGUUUUGAAAUGUAUCACUAAUAGCUACUAACUCAUGAAACUGUUGUCUGUUUCAAAAUAUUGUAUAUAAGAUUUUUACAUUUCAAGAGAAAUUGGUUCAAAAUUUAUGUUAAUCAUAUAUGCCUGACUCAUUCAACCUCUUCCCAUUCCUAACCAGUUUUGGGAGGACGUCUCGAUGGAUUUUAUUGGAGGGUUACCGAAAUCCAGCGGGGCAGACACGGUUUUGGUGGUGGUGGAUCGUCUCAGUAAGUAUGCUCAUUUCAUCCCAUUACAUCAUCCGUAUACUUCUAAGGAGGUGGCUUAAGCAUUUGUCAAGGAGGUUAUUCGGUUGCAUGGUUUCCCUAUCUCGAUUGUUUCCGAUCAUGAUCAUGUUUUUAUGAGUAUGUUUGGAAGGAAUUAUUCUGUUUGGCCGGCACUAAACUGCAUUUCAGUUCGGCAUAUCACCCACAAACUGAUGGCCAGACGUAAGUUAUUAAUAGAACACUGAAAACUUACUUACACUGUUUUGUGAAUGAGCACCCUAAACAGUUGAUUAAAUGGUUGGCUUGGGCUGAGUUAUGGUUUAAUUGCUCCUACAAUGCUUCUACUCAUAUGUCUCCUUUUAAGGCUUUGUAUGGUAGAGACUCACAUUCAAUUAUUCCUUUUAGAAAUGAGAGCACUGUUGUGGCUGUUGUGGACAGUUUGCUCCAAGAAAGAGACAGCAUCCUUGAAGAACUCAAGGAAAAUUUGGCUAAAGCUCAACACUGCAUGCAAAUCCAAGUCGAUAAGAAACGAAGAGAAGUAGAGUUUCAGGUGGGAGAUUUGGUGUUUCUAAAGGCUCAACCUUACAAACUUCGUUCAUUAACUCAGGCUCAAUGAGAAGUUAAGUCCCCAUUUUUAUGGCCAUUUUACAGUGCUAGAAAAAAUAGGCAAUGUAGCCUAUAGAUUGCAGCUGCCGGCUUACUCACGGGUGCACCCCAUUUUCCACGUGUCUCAACUCAAAAUAGCACCUUCCUCUAGUGUCCCUUGUCAACAGUUUCCAGCAAGUUUGACGGAGGAUUGGGAAUUACUGGUUGUGCCUGAACAAGUGUUGGCAGGUCGCAAGUUGUUGAAUGGAAAAACUGAAGUCUUAAUUAAAUGGGCUGAACUCCCUGCACAUGAUAAUACUUGGGAGGAUUUCGAGUUAUUAUGGUCAACUUUCCAUGCUUUCCACCUUGAGGACAAGGUGUUGCUCGUUGGGACGGGUAUUGAUGGAGCCCCAAUUAAGAAGGUUUAUCAGAGAAAAAGAAAAGAUGCUCAGGGUAAAGUGGGAACAAGAGCCAAAGAGUUGGUUGCAAAUGCCCCUAACCAAUUGGACACGUGGCAGAUAGAGAAUGGGAGAUCAGAUCCCGAAAUCAGUGAGGGGUGAAUAUGAGGAGAGUGAGGCAAGGGGAAUGAGUAGGCAAUCAUUUGGAUAAGGAAUCAAGGGAAUAUUUCCCAUAUUACUUAUAUUUUUUCUCUUCUGCACUUCUGCUAGGCAAAUACCAUUGUACUUUUGCAGACUAUAAUCUUGUAGCGAAGCUUAUAUACUACCAUUACAGUUUCUCUUUUCUAAUUGUUGUUUCAUUCUCUUAAUUAUAUUCUGGUACCUAUCAGAAUGACACUACCUGAUACCAUUAUUUGUUAUCCCAAAAAAUACUAAUAGAGAAUUCCAACUUCUUUGGCUCUCUUUCCUGCAAAAUUACCAAGCAUGCAAUAUAUGCAUGAACGCAAAGAAUAAAAGACUCAUUUUUUAUGGUACACUAUUACAUCUUAUGCUGCAGCAGACUGCUUCUCUUCAUAAUCAUCAAGAUUAAGAGCAUGAAGUAACUUUGGCCAAGUUUCUGGGAUUCCUCCUGGCAAGUCGAACUCCAAAAGUUUUCCUCUACUACGAUAAAAUUCCUCCACAGGCUGACUCUGGAAUCAUGGAAGAAAACAGGUUUUAAAACAAUUAUAGAUGGCAGGGGUAAAAAACAAAAAAAAGAUAUCAACUUUAAUGGAGAGUAGAACCACAACUUUAUCAAAACUAUCACAAGGCCCCCAUAACUAAGAUAUCAUAUACACAACUUCUAACUCUAGUAGCCAAAUUGCUUUCUUAAGUCCACUACUGAUGAUGAUGAUGAUGAUACAAUAAUAUUAACGGGGUUAAGUACCAUUUCGUUAUAUAUUCGAAGCCUUUCUUUGACCACUGCUUCAGUAUCAUCUGAACGAAUAAUGAGCUUUGACAUGCAAUGUGCGGGAGGAAGAAAUGGAGGCAUGACUGUCCCUGGGCAGCCAUUCUCACCCUUCAUGUUAAUGGAGGCAACAUUAAAAUUUCCUCCACACUGACUGCAAAUUCUCCUGCCAAGGCAUUUCUCAAGCAGCACUUCUUCUUUGGGCUUCAGAUUGACUACCAAGUCAAUGUCAGUUACCCCUUCCAAUAUUUCCUGACCACACAAAAAGGUAAUACAAAUCAAAAAAUUAUACUUCACAUUGUUCACAAAGUUGUUUAUUGUCUUUCUUAUCCCCGAUGACUCGAUAAUUAACAAAAAAAUGCUUCCAAAAAAGUAAACAUGUUACAUUGUUACCAAAUCGUUGCAACUUUAACAGAUAAAAAAGGAUAAAGUUGUUUAGGGAGGACAGAAAACAAAGCUGCUAGUUUGGUUAGUUAGUCUCUGGAAACACAGACAUAUAUUAAUUGAUAUAAAAAAGAACAUUGAGUGAGACCUUGGUUAUUCCAAAAUUUGAGUUUAAUUUUGAUCCAUUGCCAGUUUUAACUAUUUUACAUUAUCAUCCAAAAAUACUUUGUGACAUCAUUAAAAGUGUUUGACCUACGAGGUAGUUGCAAUCAUAAUUUAUAAUGUGGUAAAACAAAUAAAAUAUAAUUAGAUGAUAGUCAAAAAAAUUGAAAGCAUUUCAAAAUUAAAUUUGAAGUAUUUAUGAAGUUUUUGGUGAAAACUGAAAGGCAAUAAAUGGGAAUAAAGGAACCUACAGAAGCUAUAUGGGGAUGGGGGCAACAAUGUAAUUAAAAAAUACUCACCGCUUGCUUUAUUGUUCGAGGAAAACCAUCAAGAAUAAAUCCUGGCUCACGUUUAGCUUCUCCGGCAGCCAGUCUCACUGACAAUAAACUUAUAAUAAUUUCAUCAGACACCAAUUUACCUUGAUUUACAAUUUCUGAUAGCUGUAAGUGUAAGAGACCAAAAAAUUCCAAAUACGAAAACAUCAGAGAUGGUGCAAUGGAGCAUCCUUUUACAAUUAACAUGUAAUUUUCAAUUCAAACUCAUCAGCUCCCAAUAAACAAAUAAAAAUUAUAGCAUGCCAUAAAUACCAUAACUACACAGUAUUAAAAGCUGAAAAUAGAUUAAGAAUAGCAAAACUACCAAUAACUUGUACACUUAAAAAUGAAAAAAAGGAAAAUAAGAAGCAAUCAACACUUCAAUAAUUGGUUGAAUGGAAGGUUGAGGGCUAUUUAUUAGAGUAUACUGAUUUUGUAAAGCCAGUUGUGAUAAAUGGACUGUGUAGUGUAAAUUGUUCAGUUAGCUUCCUUAGUAAGCUAACAGUUCGGUAUUCUGUUAGAUGUAGUUUAGUUUAGCUUGUUCAGGAAGCUUUAGCUGAAAGUGUAGGCCACUUGAGCAUGUUAUUAUAAUACUCACUGCACAUUCCUCUCUUUUUUAUCUACGCGCUCAGGCGCGUGAGUAAUGCAUUUACACGCCAAAUAAGAAACGGAGGAAGACGAAGAAGUGGUGCGGUUUAUGAAGCGGGUUAUAGCCGCCAUCGUUAUUAUGGGAAAGACAACAAACUCAACUUCUAUUUUUGUAAAUGUAAUACCUAAUUCACGUGUAAUAUUUGUUUUUUAUGUUAAUUUUAGGUUAAAUACAUAAUUAUUUACUACUUAUUUGUAUUAGUUAUGUUUAGAUGUUAAUAUUAAUUAAAUAUAAAUAAUAUAUAAUAAAAUAAUAAUGUAAAAAAUUACAUCAUUUUCUCAACCCUGCACACAUAAAAUAAAUGAAAGAAUUCUAUGCCAAGAGAUAUGCCACGUUUGUUGUUUCUCACCUCACAACAUCACAUGUUCCACAAUUCAUUUAUCAUUUUGUCAACACACUCAUAAGAGAAAGUAGAAAAAGGCUUCACUUCACAGAUUGUUGUUCUGCUUUGUUAAACCACUUUCCAUGGCAAGCUCUCUUUCUACAACCCAUUUUUCCAAUUCUCUUCACCACCUUAGCAUUACUACAAAACCCACCACCCUCUCACUAAGUCAAAACCUUAGAAUAUGUUCCAAGAAUCUUAAUAUACUCAAACUCUCACCAACUAGAUUUAAUGUCACCACAACCUUUGCUGCUUCUUCUGCAGGCAAGUUUUUACUUACUCUUUUGUCUUUUCCCUUUGUAAAGUAAAUAACUUAAAUAAAGUUUUUUGAUGCUGCCACUUAUAGAUUUUGACUGGACUAUAAUUGGAGUUAUAGAAUUCAUCAUAUAAUGAUGAAUAUUAGAUGAUCAAAAUAGUAGAGGAAAGUUAAGGACCAAUUUUCUUAGGCUUAGAACAAUUUAAUCUAUAGAACUGAUUUUGACAAAUGUGACUUUAUGAGAAACUAGUUUUUCAAAUAAGCUUAAUUUUAGCUUUUUUAUGGCUUCUGAGUUAUUUCCAAAAGUCCAACCAAACAAGUAUGCUAGUGUCAGAAGUGAUUUUUUAGUGAAAAUAUAUUAUUUUCAAGAUGUAUUAUAGGAUAUAUUUGUCUAUAUAUAUCUUUCAGUUAUUAUAUGUCAACUUUAUUAUAUCAAGGUAUCUUUAUCAUAUCUCUUAUCUGCAAUUGUGCUUCCUAGAGAUAAUCAAGUUGGUAGAGGAAAGUUAAUUUAUUUUUUCAACAGUCCUUGUGUUAAUUGAAUGGUUAUAUUAAAUAUAAGGAUGAAGUUUCUAUGGAUUUAUGUGAGCAGGACUUGAGUCUUCUAAGUUGAGUGAGGAUAUCAAUAGUUCACUGGAUUUGGUGAAAGUGUUUGACUUGAAAGGAAAUGAGAUUCCAAUUUCUGACUUGUGGAAAGAUAGGAAAGCUGUUGUGGCAUUUGCUCGCCAUUUCGGGUGAUUUUCUCCUAUUUGAUGCACAAAUUCAGUUACUCUUAAGUUACAUCUCCUAUCUCUUGUUUGAUUUUGUUUAACAAUUAAAUGUGACCCGUGUUUCAUUACAUCAAAGGUGCGUGUUUUGCCGCAAAAGGGCUGAUUAUCUUGCAUCCAAGAAGGUAAAGUUUUCUACUUAUCUUAUACAAACAUGAACUAUUUCCUAAAAGUUGAUGCAUCAUCUGUUAUUUCUCUUUCGCUUGUUAUUUUUUGAAUUGCUAUAUGUUCUCACAAGCUUUCGCCUUAGAAUCAUUUGACUCUUGUCAGAAAUUUGAACAUUGCUUUUAGCACUCAAGUCUUCCGCGACGAUAAUUCCGGUCCUUGGUUUUAGUGUUUAGUACUUACAAGAUAUGCAUCUUAACUCAAAAUGUUUGUCCAGAUACAUGACCCGUCUUGCUUGUCCCCUUUCACAUGUUGAAUGUUUGUAUAGCUUCCUUUUGUUGUAAGCUGUACUUUACAUUGCUGCUUUUAGAUGAAGAUAUCCUCCUUUAAACCUUAGGCCUUAGCAUCAUCGGGGAUGGCCAACCCAUGAAUCUAAUUUUCUUCAAUAUAUAGCUUGCUAUGAAAGUUUUGCCAAGACUAUAUGAAUCUUAUUUCGUCUUCUGUAUUACAUGGUAAUAGUUUUAGUUGUAAAAUGGAAAGUUUUAUAUUUCACAGAGAUAUUCCUCUAAUAAAAUGGAUAUGUUAUAUCAACAGGAUAUAAUGGAUUCAUCUGGUGUCACACUUGUAAUAAUUGGACCUGGGAGCAUUGAUCAGGUAUGUUAGAAGAAUUAUAGUGAAUGUUUGUACUUUUGGUUUGGGCUUAAUUUUUUUGCUGUUCUCUGUUAUGCAUACGAUCUUCUUGGCGGGAAAGCAUAAUUCGUCCCACAAUUUGUGUCACUCUCGAUUAUGCCAAAGGAUUCUGUUUGGUUAAAAAGCUGGAUAAUUAAUUUAUAAUUUUUAGACCAAUCCUCAUCCUAUGGCACAUGAGCGGCACACAAUGUGGAACAAGUAGUGUUAUCCCCUUCUUAACAUGGUUAAUCCAAUACAAAUUCAUGUUUUCAGAACAUGCUCUCAUAAGAUAUGAUUUUGACUGGGAAAGAUUGCAAGAGAUUGCGUAUCUUCUUCAAUUGGAGUUUUUGUUUUUUGUAUUUUUUGAGUCGGGGUGCUGAAGAUCAUCUUUCUUGAUAUAUUUCUCAGCUUGCUUCCAAGUUCCAAGUAUUGAUUUUAUGCUUUCUGUUAUCAUCUGAAUAUGCUGGAAUUUCACUGUUAAUGGCAUAAUGCCUAUAUUUAAUACAGGCUAAAGCCUUUGCUGAGAAAACAAAAUUCAAAGGAGGUACUUCGCAACUAACCUAAUGCUUGUGCAAGUUUUAGUAACUUAGUCAUCUUAUGUCAACAUUUUGACAGGACCUUAUUAUCUGUUGUAGAAAUCUAUGCAGACCCGGCUCACACCUCGUAUGAGGCAUUGAAAUUUGUUUCGGGAGCUUUAACCACAUUUACCCCAAAUGUAAGCGAUAAUCGUCCAGCUCCUUUAUUCAUAAAAAGUGCAUAAAAGACGAGUGCCUGAAUGAUACCUGUUCACAAAUUGAGAUUUUUUGUUAACUGUGUGGAGGAUCUCCUACCUUAAUUUUAGCUGUUAUAUUGCAGGCUGGUCUUAAGAUAAUACAGUUAUACAUGGAAGGUUACCGACAAGAUUGGAAGCUUUCAUUUGAAAAGGAUACUGUCGAAAGAGGAGGCUGGUAUGUAAAUUAUCUCACAAGAAGUCUUACACUAUCUGGCUAUAAUGAGUUGUCAAGACUCAUCUAGUUUACACCACCAUAAAAAAGAUAAUUCAUGGUUUCAUCUUUACCUUUUAGCCCAAAUUCCUGAAGUUCUGUUUUACCAGGAAUAUAUGAUUUAGGAUAGAAGAUAAGAAUAUGUCUAGUCUAGCUACUUCUAGAAUUUAGAUGUGUCUUGGAUAUACCUUCACAUGGUAGAUAAUUAAAUUUGUAUGCGUGUCCUAUUGAUUCUGAAUCACUUUCUCCAGUCCAUUGAAGCCAGUGACACGGGACAAGAUCAUGUUUUUCUGUUUAUGAUUGGCUGAACUUCUCAUUGAGAUUAUGAACUUCGCAUUGUGGCAGGCAACAAGGAGGAAUUAUAGUUGCAGGUCCGGGUAAAAGUAACAUCUCAUACAUUCACAAGGUGUGUGUUCAUUUUUUAUAAAACAUUUUCCUUUAUAGCUUAGCUAGAAUUAGUCAUGAACCAGAACAAUAUUCAUGGCCUGUGUUACUGUUCACAUUUUUCUGAUAUGAUUAUGUGUAAUAUGAGCAGGAUAAAGAAGCCGGUGAUGACCCAGACAUCCAAGAUAUCUUAAAAGCAUGCUGCUCAUGAAGAAAGAAGUGAGGGAACCCCUCUUUUGCUGCUAUAUUUGUCUUGCUUUGUGAAGUGUGAUACUCUCAGGGGCAUUGUAUAUUGUAUCUGCUUCUUGCACUGAGAAGUAGCUUUGUCUUGAGGUUCAGUUAUAAGAUUACCUGUUAUGCAAGGCUAUGUUUUGAAAUGUAUCACUAAUAGCUACUAACUCAUGAAACUGUUGUCUGUUUCAAAAUAUUGUAUAUAAGAUUUUUACAUUUCAAGAGAAAUUGGUUCAAAAUUUAUGUUAAUCAUAUAUGCCU